AUUGAACGCUGGCGGCAGGCCUAACACAUGCAAGUCGAACGAGUGGCGGACGGGUGAGUAAUGUCUGGGAAAAUGCCUGAUGGAGGGGGAUAACUACUGGAAACGGUAGCUAAUACCGCAUACCAUCAGAUGUGCCCAGAUGGGUUUAGCUUGUGGGUGGGGUAACGGUUCACCAAGGCGACGAUCCCUAGCUGGUGUGGGAGGAUGACCGACCACACUGGAACUGGGACACGGUACAGACUCCUGCGGGAGGCAGGAGUAGGGAAUAGUUGACAAUGGGCGCAAGCCUGAUGCAGCAAUGCCGCGUGUAUGAAGAAGGCCUUCGGGUUGUAAAGUACUUUCAGCGGAGAGGCGUUACCCGCAGAAGAAGCACCGGAUAACUCCGUGCCAGCCGCCGCGGUAAUAC
RNAcentral lists this ribosomal RNA (406 nucleotides) under uncultured bacterium. RNAcentral describes it as "partial 16S ribosomal RNA". It matches the Rfam family "Bacterial small subunit ribosomal RNA", at positions 30 to 526 of the family's 1533-position model. The record is from RNAcentral.